GACGAACGCUGGCGGCGUGCUUAACACAUGCAAGUCGAACGAUAAAGCUGGAGCUUGCUCUAGCGGAUUAGUGGCGAACGGGUGAGUAACACGUGAGCAAUCUGCCCUUGACUCUGGGAUAACUGCGGGAAACUGUAGCUAAUACCGGAUACUUUCACCGGGGGGCAUCCUCUGGUGAUGAAAGAAUUUCGGUCAAGGAUGAGCUCGCGGCCUAUCAGCUUGUUGGUGAGGUAACGGCUCACCAAGGCGACGACGGGUAACCGGCCUGAGAGGGUGACCGGUCACAGUGGGACUGAGACACGGCCCAGAAUCCUACGGGAGGCAGCAGUGGGGAAUAUUGCACAAUGGGCGCAAGCCUGAUGCAGCAACGCCGCGUGAGGGAUGAAGGCCUUCGGGUUGUAAACCUCUUUUAGCAGGGAAGAAGCGAAAGUGACGGUACCUGCAGAAAAAGCACCGGCUAACUACGUGCCAGCCGCCGCAGUAA
Molecule: ribosomal RNA, 484 nt
Filed under: uncultured bacterium
Lineage: Bacteria
Description: partial 16S ribosomal RNA
Rfam family: Bacterial small subunit ribosomal RNA
Source: RNAcentral